AUUGAACGCUGGCGGCAGGCCUAACACAUGCAAGUCGAACGGUAACAGGAAGAAGCUUGCUUCUUUGCUGACGAGUGGCGGACGGGUGAGUAAUGUCUGGGAAACUGCCUGAUGGAGGGGGAUAACUACUGGAAACGGUAGCUAAUACCGCAUAACGUCGCAAGACCAAAAAGGGGGACCUUCGGGCCUCUUGCCAUCGGAUGUGCCCAGAUGGGAUUAGCUAGUAGGUGGGGUAACGGCUCACCUAGGCGACGAUCCCUAGCUGGUCUGAGAGGAUGACCAGCCACACUGGAACUGAGACGCGGUCCAGACUCCUACGGUAGGCAGCAGUGGGGAAUAUUGCACAAUGGGCGCAAGCCUGAUGCAGCCAUGCCGCGUGUAUGAAGAAGGCCUUCGGGUUGUAAAGUACUUUCAGCGGGGAGGAAGGGAGUAAAGUUAAUACCUUUGCUCAUUGACGUUACCCGCAGAAGAAGCACCGGCUAACUCCGUG
This 490-nucleotide ribosomal RNA is filed under the name uncultured bacterium. RNAcentral describes it as "partial 16S ribosomal RNA". It matches the Rfam family "Bacterial small subunit ribosomal RNA", at positions 30 to 507 of the family's 1533-position model. The record is from RNAcentral.